This 439-nucleotide long non-coding RNA is filed under the name Bos taurus (domestic cattle). Its description in RNAcentral is "long non-coding RNA NONBTAT015320". The record is from RNAcentral. Lineage: Eukaryota; Metazoa; Chordata; Mammalia; Artiodactyla; Bovidae.
ACAAAAAAGAGAGAAAAAGAAAAUUAGUUAACCUUACUGUCUUUAAUAUAUUUAUAGGAAUUUUGUUAAAGGGCCUGAUAGGUCCUUGUUAAAGGGUCAGUGUUAUUACUGAUGCAUUCAAUAAUCAUUACUUUUUAAGCAGUAAUAAGAUCAGUUCUGUAUUCUGAAAACUGUGGAAAAUCAGGAGUACCUGGGGCAAAAAUAUUAGUAAACGGGAAACAUCACCAAUACCUUCUGACAUAGAUAUACAGAAUUCUUUACAACAGAUUGUUCCAAUCAUAAUCUUUAAGAGGAUUUCAAAGCAGCAUGAAAGGCAGUAUUGUUUUUAGCAUUCCACAUAACUAUUAUAUCAAAAGAUUUAGGCUUUGAUGGUAGUUUCUGAAGUAAAAUUCAGGUUGGUAGAGAGAGACAUUUGUGCCUUUCGUGAAAGGAUUAUAUC